Octopus sinensis (East Asian common octopus) is the source of this 3020-nucleotide long non-coding RNA. RefSeq lists it as uncharacterized. NCBI's taxonomy places the organism in Eukaryota, Metazoa, Mollusca, Cephalopoda, Octopoda, Octopodidae. The record is from RefSeq and is a predicted model, not a curated record. The transcript is spliced from 2 exons.
AUACAUGUAUAUGUAUAUAUGCAUGAAUAUGUGUGUGUGUUUGUUUAUGCAUGUGUCACCUUGUCUUGACAUCAUAUGAUAGUUAUAAACAAGCGUCACCAUACAAGCAGUGUUGUUCAUUUUCAAUCCUCCAUAAAAACAUGCCUGGCUAUGAGGAGAUAUCACCUUACUUAAAAACAGGUUCAGGUUACAACAGGAAGAGCAUCCAGCUGUAGAAAAUCUGCCUCAAUAAAUUCUUUCUGACCUAUGCAAGUAUGGAAAAGUGGGCAUUAAAAUGAUGAUGACGAUGACGAUGAUGAUGAUGAUGAUGAUACAAACAGCACACACACACACAUUUUCCUUCUCUUCAUUGUCAUUUUAAUAUCCAUUUCUGUUGUAUUGGCAUAGGUUGGAUAAGUCUGCACUGCAGCAAGCAUAUUACCAUUCUUUAUGUUGUGCCAUCUCAUUUGUGAAUCUUAACGUUCUGAGAUCCAACAUCUUCACCUACUCUAUGUUGCUCUACCAUUUUUUGCUUCCACUGAUGCUUCAGUCAAAUAACUUGGCAUACAUCAUCCACUCAAAUCACAUGUCCUGUAUGUUUCAGAUGAUAUCUUUAAUGCCUGAACCAUUCUCUGACCUCUCCCAAUCAUCCACAUUUGUCUCUCUCUGCCACAUAGCGUAUUUUCGUAUACAUAUUUCCUGCAGAGAGGAAAGCUUUCUAAACAAUUCCUUAAAUCUCUAGUUACUAUGCCCUUAUAAUUACUUUUUAUGCUAAUCAGAUCACUUCAAUAACACACCACCAUCUAUGUCUAGUGAGCUGUCUGAAAUUAUGUUCAAGCAUUCCAGGGCUUAUAUUUCAAGAGUGCUAUGUCUGUAUAUCUUUCAUCUCUGCAGCCCUGGUCCUCUCUCUAAUAACCUACCAGAGAUUUCACUUCAUCUUUAGUAUGCACACAUUGUUUGUACUAAAUAUACACCAUCAGGUUCCUAUCUAUUCCCUUCCUAUAUACUGAGUAAGGCCACAACUGAAAUGGUUCUGGUAUUUUGUGUUUUCUUUCACUAAUUAGCACUUUGUAUUUUACUAUGUUGACUGUUGGGCCUUUGGAUCAUUCUUUAAGGUUUGAAAUUUUCUACACAUGAUCAACAAAUUUUACAAUGAGAUCUGGAUCAUCUAGCAUAUAGAAUAUCCCAAAAACAACCAACUUUGAACACAUACAGUAUUAUAUCCUCAUUCUCUAUAAUGAAUAGUUGUAGGAGGCGGAGGACAGAGUUCUGGUUAACACCUACCUCAUAGAAUUCACUGCAGGUGUUUAUUUAUGUAUAUUCUAGCUUUGGCAUCUUUUCUUUGCAAUGUCUUUUGUUUUUUUUAACUUUCUUUCUCUCAUUUUAUCCCUUUUAUCUCUCUCGCUCUCUCUCUCUCUAACAAAUAUUUUUCACUCAUGCUAAUGAAACAGCAUCAACAUGGUUGCACAGCCUGUUAGUAUCUGCAACCAGUUCUCCACCAAGUCCCAUCCUGCUGUUUUAAAUGUUCCCCCAUAUUGUAGAUCUGUUCAAUCAGGGCUUGGUAAAAACAGCAGCAACAUCUCUCAAGCUUGGGUAUCAAAUGUAAUUUAAGUUUUCUGCAUCUUCACUACUCAUGUCACUUGUUAAUUCCAUUAUAGAAAAGUGCAGUUUUUGAGGUGCAUUGCCGGCUCUGAAGAGUUCAGGUACUAAUCUUUUUGGGUGCCCUCACAAAACAGGUUCAAGAUCUUGCCAUAAAGAUGUAAUCUUAAAUUUUGUAAUAUAAAUGAAAUUAAAUGCAAAUUUCCUAAUAUAAUAUUUAAUUAUAAUAUAUAUAUAUGUGUGUGUGUAUAGAGAGAGAGAGAGAGGGAAGGAAUAAGUAGGUAAUUCUUUAUAUCAUGGUUAUUAACAAGAAACCAAGUAGAUGCUAGUAAUGUUCACUUGAUGUAAAGUAGCAGCAGUAAUGGAAAUGGUGAAAAAAAAAUAUGUAUAUGUGUAUAUAUAUGUAUGUGUGUGUAUUUGUAUAUAUAUAAAUAUGAUUCGUAUACACAUGCAACAGUAUUGGUGGAACAUGUUACCAACCAGCUGUACUGAGGCAUACAUGCUAGUGUGUCUUGCAAUGAUGCCUUUAACAUUAUAUAUCGAUAGUAUCGUUUGAAUUUGCAGAUAUGUUAUCAUUAGGGAAUAUUUUGCUGCUUUUUAUCAAACACACAGAUUUGAUACUUCAACACAUUGUCAGAACAAGCAGAGCAACUCCCUGUCGUUAUAACAUCAACCACUUCCCAGUGCACCAAUGGAACGGUCUGUUUCUCAAGUGGAUGUCAAAUCACAGUACACGUGGGAAAGAAAGAUGAACAAUGCUUGCAUGUGGUAGGCUUGAACCUGUGAACCCAGCAUUUAAACAACAGCAACCUAACAACAUAUACCCAUAUUUGUUCUGUAUUAUCUUCUUUUUCUUGCAUCUAUUUUGGUCAUUUUGUAUUUUGUUUUUUCUUCUUUUCUCUUUACUUUUCUUUCAUCUGUUUUCUUUUUUAUUUUCCUCUUCUGACCUCCACCUCCUUCACUGGGGAUGGUCAUUAUGUUGAUCACAGGCAAUGGAGAUUCACCAAUAUGGAACCUAAUAUCACCACUCUUUGCAUACACACACACACACACACACAUUUACACUCUGAAUUACCAGAGAAGAAAGGGUAGGCCUACCCUUCAACCUAAUGUUAACAUUACCCUCUCCCUCCCAACCCUGAAAACUUCACAUUGAUGUUUGCUGUGCCCUCUUCCAUUCCAACACUUAUCUUAGGUUCAUAUGUAAUUUUCUAUAAAUAUGUUAAAAUUUAAUAUUGAUACUGACAAAUUCACUGCCACCAUCUUCAACCAAAAUCAUCAUCACCAUCCCUUUCAAACCAAAAUAACUACCACCCCCUCCUCCUCUUCCUCCUUUUUCAAACUUUUUUCCUUUGUUUUCUUUUGCUCUUGAUUUCCAAGAUUAUAAGAAAAUCCUAUUUCCUAAUGAAUAAAAAUAAAAUCCUGUUUUAUUAUCACCUGUU